Molecule: transfer RNA, 85 nt
Filed under: Felis catus (domestic cat)
Lineage: Eukaryota; Metazoa; Chordata; Mammalia; Carnivora; Felidae
Rfam family: tRNA
About the family: Transfer RNA (tRNA) molecules are approximately 80 nucleotides in length. Their secondary structure includes four short double-helical elements and three loops (D, anti-codon, and T loops).
Source: Rfam by way of RNAcentral
GCCUGGGUGGCUCAGUUGGUUGAGCAUCCGACUUCAACUCAGGUCAUAAUCUCAUGGCUUGUGAGUUCAAGCCCCGCAUCAGGCU